UCCCUCCCUGCCGGGUAGGCGCCUCCCAGCAGGGCCCCGCCAUGGCCGUAGGGUGAGGGGAGAGGAAGAUCUCGAAGAUCUCUGGGGAUGGCCCCCGCUACGGGCGCCAGGUACCAAAGAUAAUCAUAAAGAGACGCUCAUCACUUUGCAUGCUGUAACAUGUAGACCUCGAAGAAAUAAUGGCUAGGAAUGGAACAGUCCAUAGACAAACAACUGGCCCCAGAAACUGAAAAUACAAAUAAUUUGUUCAGCUCUUCAAGAAGUUGUGACAGAAUCCAAAAGCAUGUACAGAAGCUGCAGAAAUGAAAACAUUUGGAACGUCAUUUCUGUGCUGACACCACUGAGAAAACAAAAACAUUGAUGGACGGUGCUAACCACUGAAAAUGCCAGCGGAUGGUAAG
This is a long non-coding RNA of Cygnus olor (mute swan), 401 nucleotides long. RefSeq lists it as uncharacterized. NCBI's taxonomy places the organism in Eukaryota, Metazoa, Chordata, Aves, Anseriformes, Anatidae. The transcript has 3 exons. The record is from RefSeq and is a predicted model, not a curated record.